Molecule: long non-coding RNA, 1653 nt
Organism: Athene cunicularia (burrowing owl)
Lineage: Eukaryota; Metazoa; Chordata; Aves; Strigiformes; Strigidae
Exons: 2
Source: RefSeq, a predicted model, not a curated record
CCUGGAAAUCUGAGGAGCAGUCUUCAGCGGCCAAAGAAUGCAGUUCUCCCUAGACAUGCAUGUAUGUCGCAUGAAGGGGACUGAAGUAGGAUCAGCUGGUAUCCAAGAAACACAGCUUCAGGACAUCUAGGAGUACUUUGGAGUGAACUGGCAGGAAGCCUUGCAAUACCACAGUGGCAAUAACAGUGGCUGUCCUCUGGAGAUGCUGAAGCUCAGCUUGAUUUUGAACUUUUCUUACACCUCCCAGCUUGUACACAAAGGACUUAACGUUGAUUUGGAUUUAUAUGGUAUAAAAUGAAUGGAUAUGGGAUUUUUUUCCCUCCCUUUGCUUGACAUCUGCAUGUUUCUGUCAAUCAGCGAUGAAGUGUCUACUAGGUCUGCUGACAUUUGGUUUGUUUUCAAGAUCUCUGAGUGACAGGUACUGUAAACAUCCUACACUCUCAGCUGUGGAAACUAAGAAAGCUGGGAGAAGGCUGUUUACUCUCCCUGCCUUGGAAGUCUUCGGGAGGACAAGGAUUCAAUAUAGUGAGCUCUGUGUUGAUUGUAUUUCUGACAACCUGUAUUUCACAUUUUGUGUUAUGGUGUCAGUAAACAAAUAAUAGCGUUAUGUCAUCAGUAUCUCAUGUUCUGACCGAGGUCAGAAAGGCCUUACAAUACAUUUUAGCUGCACUGCUGGCUUAAGGGAAACUUAAAUAGUAGCAAUAAUAUGUUACAAUACUUUCAUCCUUAAGCAGUGAUUAAAACAGACCUGUUGCACUGUUUGUAUAUGAGUGCUGGUACAUACAAAUUACAGUGUAGACAUCCUCAGGUUGACACAUCAGUAGUGUAUUUAAUCAAAAUAAUCCUUAAAUGUUUGGUUCUUGUUUUUCUGAUUCACUCUAUUCUCGUUUCCUACUCAAAAGGGCUAGAAAUAGAGGUCAGAAGGCAAAAAGAUUCUAGAGGACUUCAAAUUUCAGGUUUUUUGGAAGAAAUUCAGAGGUGUCAGCACUGAUUAACUCUAUUUCUAAACUAAUAGAAUUAAAGAUACAGAGGUAUUUACCUUAUGUUUUCCACUUGCUGUUCCCUGCCACUUGCAGCCAAGACUAUUAUUCUUUGUACUUUCUCCUGGCAGUCUUCCUCUUUCCCCUUGUGUUUCUUUUAUUCUAUUUGCUGUUAGCCAAGUAGAGCUUCUCAUUUUAAAUGUAGAAUAAGCUGGAAAAACAAAAAUCUUUCUUUUAAAUCCAAUAUACUGCUGGCAUGAUCUAAGUCCUCAUGAAUUUUAGUUUUGUAGCUCUUCUUAAGCAGUGACUUUGACAGAAAGGAUGUCGUUGGGUUUUUUCUUUUUUUCUUAUUUAUGGGAGGAGACACCUUUUGUGCUUUCUAAUAAUUUUUUCAUAAUACAGUUGAAUUCAAAGAUCACCUUCUCCUUUUGCAAUAGCAUUCUUAUGUCUUCAGAUUGUGCUACUUCAGCUUUUUAGCAAAGGCAUUUAAAUAUCAAAUCUUUGAAAUAAGGGCUGUUCUAAGAGUAAGUCUCUGGGUUUGGAAAGUGAUGUGGGUGGGAAGACAACAGGAAAAUGGUAAAAGAUCAUUUAAUGAUUUGAAGUAGUACUUCUACCAAAUGGACAAAAAAGCUAAAAAAAAAAAUAUUAAAAAAAGUAAAUCAGUUAUUUGAAG